Long non-coding RNA from Pocillopora damicornis (cauliflower coral), 395 nucleotides. The record is from RefSeq and is a predicted model, not a curated record. NCBI's taxonomy places the organism in Eukaryota, Metazoa, Cnidaria, Anthozoa, Scleractinia, Pocilloporidae.
CCAAACUGGAAAACUGACUCUUCGCGGACGGCACAAUAACAACUGGGAGAAAUAACUCUGUAGAGACGACUUGGCAGCGAGAACGGAAACUCGUCACGAUUUCCUGGUACACGGCGAUCUGCUUCGAGCGAGCUUAUACGGACUUCAAGGAUAAGACAAUCUUUGGUUCCACAGUACUUUUAUUCUAGGUCAGGCCAACAAGCGACAUGACCUCUAGCAUGCUCUAGUUUGUAAUCAUCAAAGCUGUACAAGGUACUUGCUUAAGAAGUAACUGGUGCGAAGUGCUAUUGUUACACAAAUCGCAAUAUUUGAAUAAGGACACAAAGGAGCGGAAAAAAAGUCUGUUUGAAGCUAAACAAAAACUACUUAAAUAUUCCAUCUGUUUCUACGACGGA